This 460-nucleotide ribosomal RNA is filed under the name uncultured bacterium. RNAcentral describes it as "partial 16S ribosomal RNA". It matches the Rfam family "Bacterial small subunit ribosomal RNA", at positions 338 to 795 of the family's 1533-position model. The record is from RNAcentral.
CCUACGGGAGGCAGCAGUGAGGAAUAUUGGUCAAUGGCCGUAAGGCUGAACCAGCCAAGCAGCGUGAAGGACGAAGGUGCCAAGCAUUGUAAACUGCUUUUAUGAGGGGACAAAAUCAGGCACGAGAGCUGUACCGUAGGUACUGGAAGAAAAAGCACCGGCUAAUUCCGUGCCAGCAGCCGCGGUAAUACGGAGGGUACGCGCGUUAUCCGGAUUUAUUGGGUUUAAAGGGUGCGUAGGCGGGAUGUUAAGUGUGCGGUGAAACACCGUGGCUCAACCCUGGCGCGGCGGUGAGAAAGGGGUUGUCUGGGGAUGUCGAGAGGUAUGCGGAAUGCGCGGUGUAGCGGGGAAAUGCUUAGAUAUAGCGCAGAACUCCGAUGGCGAAGGCAGCAUAGCGGGGGCGAUCUGACGCUGAGGCACGAGAGCGUGGGUAUCGAACAGGAUUAGAUACCGUAUAGUC